UUUGGUGUAGUAGGUAGCAUGUCAGUCUGGCAAGCUGAAGGUCCUGAGUUCCAUCCUCUCCUCAGAA
This 67-nucleotide transfer RNA is filed under the name Monodelphis domestica (gray short-tailed opossum). It matches the Rfam family "tRNA", at positions 6 to 65 of the family's 71-position model. Rfam says of the family: Transfer RNA (tRNA) molecules are approximately 80 nucleotides in length. Their secondary structure includes four short double-helical elements and three loops (D, anti-codon, and T loops). Further hydrogen bonds mediate the characteristic L-shaped molecular structure. tRNAs have two regions of fundamental functional importance: the anti-codon, which is responsible for specific mRNA codon recognition, and the 3' end, to which the tRNAs corresponding amino acid is attached (by aminoacyl-tRNA synthetases). tRNAs cope with the degeneracy of the genetic code in two manners: having more than one tRNA (with a specific anti-codon) for a particular amino acid; and 'wobble' base-pairing, i.e. permitting non-standard base-pairing at the 3rd anti-codon position. Lineage: Eukaryota; Metazoa; Chordata; Mammalia; Didelphimorphia; Didelphidae. The record is from Rfam by way of RNAcentral.